UGCCCACCAGCUAGCUUAACCCGCAAAAUUCAACGCCACCCUAUAAAUAACCCCUAAAAUAAUGAUACCCCCAUAAACAAACCAUUUUUCCUCCUUAGUACGGGCGACGGAAAAGGACCCCUCUUUAAAGCAAUAAAAAAAGUACCGCAAGGGAAAGCUGAAAAAGAAUUGAAAUAGACCAGUAAAGCACAAUGAAGCAGAGCUUUUAUCUCGUACCUUUUGCAUCAUGA
This 230-nucleotide ribosomal RNA is filed under the name Gerres erythrourus. RNAcentral describes it as "partial 16S ribosomal RNA". The record is from RNAcentral. Lineage: Eukaryota; Metazoa; Chordata; Actinopteri; Gerreiformes; Gerreidae.